GUCCACGCCGUAAACGAUGUCAACUAGCCGCUGGACGCUUUAUAGUGUUUGGUGGCGUAGCUAACGCGAUAAGUUGACCGCCUGGGAAGUACGGCCGCAAGGUUGAAACUCAAAUGAAUUGACGGGGCCCGCACAAGCGGUGGAGCAUGUGGUUUAAUUCGAUGCAACGCGAAGAACCUUACCUACUCUUGACAUCCUGGGAACUUGGCAGAGAUGCCUUGGUGCCUUCGGGAACCCAGAGACAGGUGCUGCAUGGCUGUCGU
RNAcentral lists this ribosomal RNA (263 nucleotides) under uncultured bacterium. RNAcentral describes it as "partial 16S ribosomal RNA". It matches the Rfam family "Bacterial small subunit ribosomal RNA", at positions 793 to 1055 of the family's 1533-position model. The record is from RNAcentral.